Molecule: ribosomal RNA, 250 nt
Filed under: uncultured bacterium
Lineage: Bacteria
Description: partial 16S ribosomal RNA
Rfam family: Bacterial small subunit ribosomal RNA
Source: RNAcentral
GACAGAGGAGGCUAGCGUUGUUCGGAAUCACUGGGCUUAAAGCGCGUGUAGGCGGCGGAGCAAGUGUCGUGUGAAAUCCCUCGGCUCAACCGGGGAACUGCACGGCAAACUACUUCGCUUGAGGACGGUAGAGGUGCCUGGAACUCUCGGUGGAGCGGUGAAAUGCGUUGAUAUCGAGAGGAACGCCAGAAGCGAAAGCGAGGCACUGGGCCGUCUCUGACGCUGAGACGCGAAAGCGUGGGGAGCAAAC